This 468-nucleotide ribosomal RNA is filed under the name uncultured bacterium. RNAcentral describes it as "partial 16S ribosomal RNA". It matches the Rfam family "Bacterial small subunit ribosomal RNA", at positions 28 to 507 of the family's 1533-position model. The record is from RNAcentral.
GACGAACGCUGGCGACGUGCUUAACACAUGCAAGUCGAACGGAAAGGCCCUGCUUUUGUGGGGUGCUCGAGUGGCGAACGGGUGAGUAACACGUGAGUAACCUGCCCUUGACUUUGGGAUAACUUCAGGAAACUGGGGCUAAUACCGGAUAGGAGCUCCUGCUGCAUGGUGGGGGUUGGAAAGUUUCGGCGGUUGGGGAUGGACUCGCGGCUUAUCAGCUUGUUGGUGGAGUAGUGGCUUACCAAGGCUUUGACGGGUAGCCGGCCUGAGAGGGUGACCGGCCACAUUGGGACUGAGAUACGGCCCAGACUCCUACGGGAGGCAGCAGUGGGGAAUAUUGCACAAUGGGCGGAAGCCUGAUGCAGCAACGCCGCGUGCGGGAUGACGGCCUUCGGGUUGUAAACCGCUUUCGCCUGUGACGAAGCGUGAGUGACGGUAAUGGGUAAAGAAGCACCGGCUAACUACGUG